GACGAACGCUGGCGGCGUGCUUAACACACGCAGGUCGAACGGUAAGGCCCUUCGGGGUACACGAGUGGCGAACGGGUGAGUAACACGUGGGUGAUCUGCCCUGCACUUCGGGAUAAGCCUGGGAAACUGGGUCUAAUACCGGAUAGGACCCUGGGAUGCAUGUCCUGGGGUGGAAAGCUUUUGCGGUGUGGGAUGGGCCCGCGGCCUAUCAGCUUGUUGGUGGGGUGAUGGCCUACCAAGGCGACGACGGGUAGCCGGCCUGAGAGGGUGACCGGCCACACUGGGACUGAGAUACGGCCCAGACUCCUACGGGAGGCAGCAGUGGGGAAUAUUGCACAAUGGGCGCAAGCCUGAUGCAGCGACGCCGCGUGAGGGAUGACGGCCUUCGGGUUGUAAACCUCUUUCAGCACCGACGAAGCGCAAGUGACGGUAGGUGCAGAAGAAGGACCGGCCAACUACGUGCCAGCCGCCGCAGUAA
RNAcentral lists this ribosomal RNA (478 nucleotides) under uncultured bacterium. RNAcentral's name for it is "partial 16S ribosomal RNA". It matches the Rfam family "Bacterial small subunit ribosomal RNA", at positions 28 to 523 of the family's 1533-position model. The record is from RNAcentral.